RNAcentral lists this ribosomal RNA (253 nucleotides) under uncultured bacterium. RNAcentral's name for it is "partial 16S ribosomal RNA". It matches the Rfam family "Bacterial small subunit ribosomal RNA", at positions 524 to 776 of the family's 1533-position model. The record is from RNAcentral.
UACGAAGGGUGCAAACGUUGCUCGGAAUUAUUGGGCGUAAAGCGCACGUAGGCGGCUUAGCAAGUUGGAUGUGAAAGCCCUCGGCUUAACCAAGGAAGUGCAUCCAAAACUGCUGAGCUUGAGUAGUUAAGAGGAUCGCGGAAUUCCCGGUGUAGAGGUGAAAUUCGUAGAUAUUCGGAGGAACACCAGUGGCGAAGGCGGCUCACUGGCUCGAUACUGACGCUGAGGUGCGAAAGCGUGGGGAGCAAACAGG